GUGGCUAUAGCUCAGUGGUAGAGCUUAUGCUUAGCAAAUGCAUGAGGUCCUGGUUCAAUUCCCAGUACCUCCA
Molecule: transfer RNA, 73 nt
Filed under: Camelus dromedarius (Arabian camel)
Lineage: Eukaryota; Metazoa; Chordata; Mammalia; Artiodactyla; Camelidae
Also listed under: 1 other name
Rfam family: tRNA
About the family: Transfer RNA (tRNA) molecules are approximately 80 nucleotides in length. Their secondary structure includes four short double-helical elements and three loops (D, anti-codon, and T loops).
Source: Rfam by way of RNAcentral